RNAcentral lists this signal recognition particle RNA (298 nucleotides) under Aotus nancymaae (Ma's night monkey). RNAcentral describes it as "Metazoan signal recognition particle RNA (ENSANAG00000004942.1)". It matches the Rfam family "Metazoan signal recognition particle RNA". From Rfam's summary of the family: The signal recognition particle (SRP) is a universally conserved ribonucleoprotein. It is involved in the co-translational targeting of proteins to membranes. Lineage: Eukaryota; Metazoa; Chordata; Mammalia; Primates; Aotidae. The record is from RNAcentral.
GCCAGGCACGGUGGCGUGUGCCUGUAGUCUCAACUACUCCGGAGGCUGAGGCUGGGGGAUCGCUUGAGCCCAGGAGUUCUGGGCUGUAGUGCACUAUGCCGAUCGGGUGUCCGCACUAAGUUUGGCAUCAAUAUGGUGACCUCCAGAGAGCAGGGACUACCAGGUUGCCUAAGGAGGGGUGAACCGGCCCAGGUUGGAAACGGAGCAGGUCAAAACUCCUGUGCUGAUCAGUAGUGGGAUCGCAUCUGUGAAUAGCCACUGCACUCCAGCCUGGGCAACAUAGCAAGACCCUGUCUCU